RNAcentral lists this ribosomal RNA (476 nucleotides) under uncultured bacterium. RNAcentral's name for it is "bacterial SSU rRNA". It matches the Rfam family "Bacterial small subunit ribosomal RNA", at positions 915 to 1391 of the family's 1533-position model. The record is from RNAcentral.
GGGGGCCCGCAAGCGGUGGAGCAUGUGGUUCAAUUCGACGCAACGCGAAGAACCUUACCUGGGCUCGAACGGCUUUGGAACGGGGUGGAAACACCCUCUUCCCGCAAGGGACCGGAGUCGAGGUGCUGCAUGGCUGUCGUCAGCUCGUGUCGUGAGAUGUUGGGUUAAGUCCCGCAACGAGCGCAACCCUUGUCCUGUGUUGCCACUCCCGUAAGGGAAGCACUCUCAGGAGACCGCCAGCGAUAAGCUGGAGGAAGGUGGGGAUGAUGUCAAGUCAUCAUGGCCUUUAUGUCCAGGGCUACACACGUGCUACAAUGGACGGUACAAAGCGCUGCUAACCCGCAAGGGGGAGCCAAUCGCAAAAAACCGUUCUCAGUUCGGAUCGCAGGCUGCAACCCGCCUGCGUGAAGCUGGAAUCGCUAGUAAUGGCGUAUCAGAACGACGCCGUGAAUACGUUCCCGGGCCUUGUACACACC